This 416-nucleotide long non-coding RNA is filed under the name Homo sapiens (human). RNAcentral's name for it is "HSALNT0353442". Lineage: Eukaryota; Metazoa; Chordata; Mammalia; Primates; Hominidae. The record is from RNAcentral.
UGGAGUCUCGCCCUGUCACUGAGGCUGGAGUGCACUGGCAUGAUCUUGGCUCACUGCAACCUCCACCUCCCGGGUUCAAGCAAUUCUCCUGCCUCAGCCUCCCGAGUAGCUGGGAUUACAGACACCCACCACCACACCCGGCUAAUUUUCGUAUUUUUAGUAGACACAGGGUUUCGCCAUGUGAACAGGUCUCGAACUCCUGACCUCAGGUGAUGCACCCAUCUUGGCCUCCCAAAUUGCUAGGAUUACAGGCGUGAGCCACCGCACCUGGCCACACAUUUUUGUUUUAUGCCUUUGGGGAAAGCUAAUUGCUUAGGCAUUUUAAAUUUUAGGUGUUGUGCGGCCGGGCGUGGUGGCUCACGCCUGUAAUCCCAGCACUUUGGGAGGCCGAGGCGGGCGGAUCACGAGGUCAGGAG